AUUGAACGCUGGCGGCAGGCCUAACACAUGCGAGUCGAGCGGAUGAAGGGAGCUUGCUCCUGGAUUCAGCGGCGGACGGGCGAGUAAUGCCUAGGAAUCUGCCUGGCAGUGGGGGCUAACGUCCGGAAACGGGCGCUAAUAUCGCAUACGUCCUGAGGGAGAAAGUGGGGGAUCUUCGGACCUCACGCUAUCAGAUGAGCCUAGGUCGGAUUAGCUAGUUGGUGGGGUAAAGGCCUACCAAGGCGACGAUCCGUAACUGGUCUGAGAGGCUGAUCAGUCACACUGGAACUGAGACACGGUCCAGACUCCUACGGGAGGCAGCAGUGGGGAAUAUUGGACAAUGGGCGAAAGCCUGAUCCAGCCAUGCCGCGUGUGUGAAGAAGGUCUUCGGAUUGUAAAGCACUUUAGGUUGGGAGGAAGGGCAGUAAGUUAAUACCUUGCUGUUUUGACGUUACCAACAGAAUAAGCACCGGCUAACUUCGUG
Molecule: ribosomal RNA, 484 nt
Filed under: uncultured bacterium
Lineage: Bacteria
Description: partial 16S ribosomal RNA
Rfam family: Bacterial small subunit ribosomal RNA
Source: RNAcentral